GUGCCAGCCGCCGCGGUGAUACGGGGGAUGCAAGCGUUAUCCGGAAUCAUUGGGCGUAAAGCGCCUGUAGGUUGUUUAAUAAGUCCGUUGUUAAAGACUAGGGCUUAACCCUAGAAAAGCGAUGGAAACUACUAGACUUGAGUAUGGCAGGGGUAGAGGGAAUUUCUAGUGUAGCGGUGAAAUGCGUAGAUAUUAGAAAGAACACCGGUGGCGAAAGCGCUCUACUGGACCAUUACUGACACUCAGAGGCGAAAGCUAGGGUAGCAAAAGGGAUUAGAAACCCUUGUAGUCC
This 292-nucleotide ribosomal RNA is filed under the name uncultured bacterium. RNAcentral describes it as "partial 16S ribosomal RNA". It matches the Rfam family "Bacterial small subunit ribosomal RNA", at positions 505 to 796 of the family's 1533-position model. The record is from RNAcentral.